This 588-nucleotide ribosomal RNA is filed under the name Tomoplagia brasiliensis. RNAcentral describes it as "partial 16S ribosomal RNA". The stretch from base 338 to 497 matches the Rfam family "Bacterial large subunit ribosomal RNA", at positions 2473 to 2632 of the family's 2925-position model. Lineage: Eukaryota; Metazoa; Arthropoda; Insecta; Diptera; Tephritidae. The record is from RNAcentral.
UGGCCGUUGUACUCUGACUGUGCAAAGGUAGCAUAAUCAUUAGUCUUUUAAUUGAAGGCUUGUAUGAAUGGUUGGACGAAGAAUAAACUGUUUCAUAUAAAUUUAUAAUAAAAUUUUAUUUUUUAGUAAAAAAGCUAAAAUUUUAUUAAAAGACGAGAAGACCCUAUAAAUCUUUAUAUUUUAAUAUAAUUAUAUAUUAUAAAUAAUUUAAGUUUAAUUAAAUUAAAAUAUUUUAUUGGGGUGAUAUUAAAAUUUAAAAAACUUUUAAUUAAAAUUACACAUUAAUUUAUGAUUUAUUGAUCCAUUAAUAAUGAUUAUAAGAAUAAGUUACUUUAGGGAUAACAGCGUAAUUUUUUUGGAGAGUUCUUAUUAAUAAAAAAGUUUGCGACCUCGAUGUUGGAUUAAGAAAUAAUUUUAGGUGAAGAAGCUUAAAUAUUAAGUCUGUUCGACUUUUAAAUUCUUCCAUGAUCUGAGUUCAGCCCGGUGUAAGCCAGGUUGGUUUCUAUCUUUAAUUUUUUUUAAUAUUUUAGUCCGAAAGGCCCAAAUAUUAGAUUAAUAAUAAUUUAUUAUUUUGAAUAAAAAUAAAUU